RNAcentral lists this ribosomal RNA (440 nucleotides) under uncultured bacterium. RNAcentral's name for it is "partial 16S ribosomal RNA". It matches the Rfam family "Bacterial small subunit ribosomal RNA", at positions 338 to 795 of the family's 1533-position model. The record is from RNAcentral.
CCUACGGGGGGCAGCAGUGGGGGAUAUUGCACAAUGGGGGGAACCCUGAUGCAGCGACGCCGCGUGGGUGAAGGAGCGUUUCGGCGCGUAAAGCCCUAUCGGCAGGGAAGAAGGUGACGGUACCUGACGAAGAAGCCCCGGUGAACUACGUGCCAGCAGCCGCGGUAAUACGUAGGGGGGAAGCGGUAUCCGGAUUUAAUGGGGGGAAAGGGGGCGCAGACGGGAAUGCAAGGCAGGAGGUAAAGCCCGGGGCCCAACCCCGGGACUGCUGUUGGAACUGCAUGGCUGGAGUACAGGAGGGGCAGGCGGAAUUCCUAGUGUAGCGGUGAAAUGCGUAGAUAUUAGGAGGAACACCGAUGGCGAAGGCGGCCUGCUGGACUGUGACUGACGUUGAGGCCCGAAGGCGUGGGGAGCAAACAGGAUUAGAUACCCGGGUAGUC